RNAcentral lists this ribosomal RNA (463 nucleotides) under uncultured bacterium. RNAcentral describes it as "partial 16S ribosomal RNA". It matches the Rfam family "Bacterial small subunit ribosomal RNA", at positions 339 to 795 of the family's 1533-position model. The record is from RNAcentral.
CCACGGGGGGCAGCAGUAGGGAAUUUUCGUCAACGGGCGCAAGCCUGAACGAGCAAUGCCGCGUGAACGAGGAAGGUCUUCGGAUCGUAAAGUUCUGUUGAAGGGGAAAAAGAGCGGAGAGAGGAAAUGCUUCCUGAUUGAUAUUACCCUUCGAGGAAGUCACGGCUAACUACGUGCCAGCAGCCGCGGAAAUACGGAGGUGGCGAGCGUUAUCCGGAAUGAUGGGGCGAAAAGGGUGCGUAGGCGGCCUGCGAAGUCUGGGGUGAAAGGUACCGGCUCAACCGGUACAGGCUCUGGAAACUGGCGGGGUAGAGAGCAGGAGAGGGCGGUGGAACUCCAUGUGUAGCGGUAAAAUGCGUAGAUAUAUGGAAGAACACCAGUGGCGAAGGCGGCCGCCUGGCCUGUUACUGACGCUGAGGCACGAAAGCGUGGGGAGCAAAUAGGAUUAGAUACCCGUGUAGUC